This 310-nucleotide long non-coding RNA is filed under the name Phoenix dactylifera (date palm). Its description in RNAcentral is "long non-coding RNA (PDAC_LNC013089)". The record is from RNAcentral. Lineage: Eukaryota; Viridiplantae; Streptophyta; Magnoliopsida; Arecales; Arecaceae.
GGCACAUGUGUCCUAGAUUUUCGCUUUUGGGUACAAAGGUCUUUGACAAAUUUGGCAUAGGAGGGAACUUGUCUAAUAGCAUCAAGAAGCGGGAGGUUGAUUUUGACUUGUUUGAAAACCUCCAUCAUCUCCUCUAGUGAAGUUCCUUUCUUGCCAAAGGGAGUGGGUGCAUUAAGUGCUUCAGGAAAUGGGGCCUUUGGAAUGUGAGUUUUGGCAGAAGGUGGACUAGCUGAAGAAGAAGAAGAAGGUUUUAGAUUUUCAUUUGACACAUUUCUAUCCUCUUCUUUACCUUCCUUAUUGUUACCCUCCC